UACAUAGGGAGCAAGCGUUAUCCGGAUUUAUUGGGUGUAAAGGGUGCGUAGACGGGAAUUUAAGUUGGUUGUGAAAGCCCUCGGCUCAACUGAGGAACUGCAACCAAAACUGGAUUUCUUGAGUAUUGGAGAGGAAAGUGGAAUUCCUAGUGUAGCGGUGAAAUGCGUAGAUAUUAGGAGGAACACCAGUGGCGAAGGCGGCUUUCUGGACAAUAACUGACGUUGAGGCACGAAAGUGUGGGGAGCAAACA
Molecule: ribosomal RNA, 251 nt
Filed under: uncultured bacterium
Lineage: Bacteria
Description: partial 16S ribosomal RNA
Rfam family: Bacterial small subunit ribosomal RNA
Source: RNAcentral